This 388-nucleotide ribosomal RNA is filed under the name uncultured bacterium. Its description in RNAcentral is "bacterial SSU rRNA". It matches the Rfam family "Archaeal small subunit ribosomal RNA", at positions 338 to 726 of the family's 1478-position model. The record is from RNAcentral.
GGCGCGAAAACUUUACAAUGCUGGCAACAGCGAUAAGGGAACCUCGAGUGCCAGGUUACAAAUCUGGCUGUCGAGAUGCCUAAAAAGCAUUUCAUAGCAAGGGCCGGGCAAGACCGGUGCCAGCCGCCGCGGUAACACCGGCGGCUCGAGUGGUAACCGUUAUUAUUGGGUCUAAAGGGUCUGUAGCCGGCCGGAUAAGUCUCUUGAGAAAUCUGGCAGCUUAACUGUCAGGCUUUCAGGAGAUACUGUCUGGCUCGAGGCCGGGAGAGGUGAGAGGUACUUCAGGGGUAGGGGUGAAACCUUGUAAUCCUUGAAGGACCACCAGUGGCGAAGGCGUCUCACCAGAACGGACCUGACGGCAAGGGACGAAAGCUAGGGGCACGAACCG